UCCGGCAGCUAGCUCUCUGCAACUCUCACAAUGGGGUCACCCAUUGAAGCUAAGCAGGGCUGCGCCUGGUUAGUACGUGGAUGGGAGACCACAUGAGAAAGCUGGGUUGAUGUCGAAA
This is a ribosomal RNA of Danio rerio (zebrafish), 118 nucleotides long. NCBI's taxonomy places the organism in Eukaryota, Metazoa, Chordata, Actinopteri, Cypriniformes, Danionidae. The record is from Ensembl.